AUUGAACGCUGGCGGCAGGCCUAACACAUGCAAGUCGGACGGUAGCACAGAGGAGCUUGCUCCUCGGGUGACGAGUGGCGGACGGGUGAGUAAUGUCUGGGGAUCUGCCCGAUAGAGGGGGAUAACCACUGGAAACGGUGGCUAAUACCGCAUAACGACGCAAGACCAAAGAGGGGGACCUUCGGGCCUCUCACUAUCGGAUGAACCCAGAUGGGAUUAGCUAGUAGGCGGGGUAAUGGCCCACCUAGGCGACGAUCCCUAGCUGGUCUGAGAGGAUGACCAGCCACACCGGAACUGAGACACGGUCCAGACUCCUACGGGAGGCAGCAGUGGGGAAUAUUGCACAAUGGGCGCAAGCCUGAUGCAGCCAUGCCGCGUGUAUGAAGAAGGCCUUCGGGUUGUAAAGUACUUUCAGCGGGGAGGAAGGCGAUGUGGUUAAUAACCUUGUCGAUUGACGUUACCCGCAGAAGAAGCACCGGCUAACUCCGUGCCAGCCGCCGCGGUAA
Molecule: ribosomal RNA, 506 nt
Filed under: uncultured bacterium
Lineage: Bacteria
Description: partial 16S ribosomal RNA
Rfam family: Bacterial small subunit ribosomal RNA
Source: RNAcentral